Molecule: ribosomal RNA, 255 nt
Filed under: uncultured bacterium
Lineage: Bacteria
Description: partial 16S ribosomal RNA
Rfam family: Bacterial small subunit ribosomal RNA
Source: RNAcentral
CAAACUGGAGAUGGCGACCGGCGCACGGGUGAGUAACACGUAUCCAACCUGCCGAUAACUCGGGGAUAGCCUUUCGAAAGAAAGAUUAAUACCCGAUGGUAUAAUCAGACCGCAUGGUCUUGUUAUUAAAGAAUUUCGGUUAUCGAUGGGGAUGCGUUCCAUUAGGCAGUUGGUGAGGUAACGGCCCACCAAACCUUCGAUGGAUAGGGGUUCUGGGAGGAAGGUCCCCCACAUUGGAAUUGAGACACGGUCCAA